GACGAACGCUGGCGGCGUGCCUAAUACAUGCAAGUCGAGCGGACGAAUCGAAAGCUUGCUUUUGAUUCGUUAGCGGCGGACGGGUGAGUAACACGUGGGCAACCUGCCCUGUAGACGGGGAUAACACCGAGAAAUCGGUGCUAAUACCGGAUAACACGAAAUGUCGCAUGACGUUUCGUUGAAAGACGGCGCAAGCUGUCGCUACAGGAUGGGCCCGCGGCGCAUUAGCUAGUUGGUGAGGUAACGGCUCACCAAGGCGACGAUGCGUAGCCGACCUGGGAGGGUGAUCGGCCACACUGGGACUGAGACACGGCCCAGACUCCUACGGGAGGCAGCAGUAGGGAAUCUUCCGCAAUGGACGAAAGUCUGACGGAGCAACGCCGCGUGAGCGAAGAAGGCCUUCGGGUCGUAAAGCUCUGUUGUUAGGGAAGAACAAGUAACGCAGUAACUGGCGUUACCGUGACGGUACCUAACGAGAAAGCCACGGCUAACUACGUG
Molecule: ribosomal RNA, 498 nt
Filed under: uncultured bacterium
Lineage: Bacteria
Description: partial 16S ribosomal RNA
Rfam family: Bacterial small subunit ribosomal RNA
Source: RNAcentral